AGGCAUUCAAAAUGGUUUGCAUCAGUCAGAUGGUUCAGAUCGCCAUUCUAGGUGCUGGCCUUGCUGCUGCGAAUCCCAUUCCCGGAGGUGACCACUACCCGGAAAAGGAGAUCAAAACCGUCACAGUUACCGAGUAUAAAACGGCAUACAAACCAGUCACCGAGUUCAAAGAGAUCACCAAGUUCGUGACUGUCAACCAUCCCGUCACCCAGUGGAAGACCAUGACGAUAACGGACUAUCCCAAGCCUGUAACGAUCACCGACUACAAGCCAGUGACUGUUGUCCACACGCAAGCCGUGACUAUUACUGCUGUCAAGGAGGUCAUCGUUACUAAGACUGCUGUCCAUGAAAAGCCGGUCACGCAUUUCCAGACCAUCACCGUUCCAGGAAAACCCGUGCCUGUGCCGACCACUAUCGUCAAAGUGCAAACGGUCACCAGUAAGUGCGAACCAAAGAAACACGACGGUGGAAAGUACCCCGAGGGGAAAUAUGACGACGGAAAGGGCUACGAUGGAAAAUACGGUGCUGGGAAGGAC
This 536-nucleotide small RNA is filed under the name Histoplasma capsulatum var. duboisii H88. RNAcentral describes it as "Histoplasma capsulatum H88 hypothetical RNA". Lineage: Eukaryota; Fungi; Ascomycota; Eurotiomycetes; Onygenales; Ajellomycetaceae. The record is from RNAcentral.